GUUUAGGGUUAAUUUUUUAGGGUUUAGAGUUUACUUUUUAGGGUUUAGGGUUUAGUGUUGAUGGUUUAGAGUUUAGAGAUGAAGUUUAUGGCUUAGGGUUUAGAGUUGAUGUUUUAGGGUUUAGAGUUGAAGGUUUAGGGUUUAGAGUUGAUGUUUCGGGGUUUAGGGUUUAGAGUUGAUGUUUCAGGGUUUAGGGUUCGUAUUUAAAAAAAAAAUAGGGUUUAGGAUUGAUGGUUUAGGGUUUAGGGUUCGUAUUUCGAAAAAAAUAGGGUUUAGGAUUUACGGUUUAGGAUUUACGGUUUAGUUUUAGGGUUUAGGGUUCGAAUUUCUAAAUAGUAUAAUUUGAAAAAAAAUUAUUUUUUAUUUUGUUAGAGUUUUAUUUAUUUAAAUAUUUAUUUAUUAUAUAUAUAAAGAACAAAGAUAUAAAAGUUUUUUCCCACUUUAGUGAAGAAAAUAUUUUUGAAAAUAUCUUUUUAGUGGUGAUAAAAAUGAAAAGUGGUAGUAUAAAAAUGAUAAACAUGUAAUUUUCCGGGUUUAAAUUUACAUUACUCGAACAACACAAGUCGAGUACUAAAUAUACCAAAAGAUGCAAUUAGUGCCCACAUCAGACCUUACCCAUCACUCGCGUAAAUCGGAAGCUGGACUAUGCAGUUAAAAAUGAUGCAAUUAUACAAUGAUAAAGUGGAUAUGUGAAAGAGAGAGAAAAAAAGACAAUUAAACAACAUUUUAAGCAAAGUCUUUUGCGAUCCGUACAAUAAUCUCUUAUUAAAAUGAUAAAACGCAAAGAAUUUUUCUUCAUUAGAAAAUGGUAAUAGAAAAUGUCAUUAGUGGAGUGGAUUGAACUUUAAAAUCUCGAUUUCAACUUAGGCUAAAACGUUGACCUUUGACUUUUUAAAUUUCAGUCAUAGAUAUUAACUAAAUAUUAAAAUUAAUAUCUCCAAUAUUGUCGUUCAUCAAUUAACGCACCAAACACAAUACCUGCCCAUAUAGACAAAAUAAUAAAUUAAAAGAAAAAAUCAUUCAUAAUCAUAACUUUAGUGUCACACUCAACUAAUUAGAAUUGACAUGAGUAGUUCAGUCAGACUUUCAUGUUUUGUUAUUUAAUCUAAACUAUAUAGUUUUGAGUUUGAAUACAGACUUUACAAGUUAUACGUUAUUUGUGAAAAUAAAGUAUUAUUCACCGUAUUUAUAUAUUAGUAUUGUAACCAAUAGCAUGAGUACAAAGUAAGCAAGUAACUGAAAUAAAAAUGUAUAUAUGGUAAGUGGUAACUAAUCGGUCCAUUUUUUGACCGAUUCACAUGUUUGUCACUACAGAACUAGUAUGAGCUCUUAUAGAAUUUAGUUUUUCUUUUAAUUGUAAAAGGGAAUAUUAUAAAAUUUACUUACAGACCAAAAUCCAAAAAUAGCCACUAAAAUAUAGGUUUAAAUUAUACACGAGAAAUUAUAAUUUAUAAGAAAGCAAAUUAUGAUUUAUAUUAACCAGUUUGUCCCAUUAUUUUGGUAGUGGCGACACUGGACUUGAAAAGACUAUUUAAAGACUGAUUUACAUAUGCUACUAUUUUUAUCAAAUUAAAAAAAAAAUUAUAUAUGCUACUGUGGAACAUUUGAACUAGCAAAUAAAAAGUUGGUAUGUAAAUGUUAAAGAAAAAGUAACAAAUGCGCAUCAUUUGGCUUCUACAAGUGUCUCCGCGCUUGACCUAUCAACUAAUCUUGUAUUAUUAUUAUCUCUUAUGUCUACUUAAAUUCUACAAUAAAUUAUUUACUAGAUUCUGACCCGCCCUAAGGGCGGGUAUAUUUUUAUUUUAUUUUAUUUUUAAUUUUAAUUUUAUAUGUUUUUGUUGUUUUAAUCAUAUUUGUGUUAAAUGUUACUUUAAUAUAAUUUUUGAUAACUAUAUUACAUAUGUCAAAUUGCAUAACUGUGCAUUUGUGAGAUAUAUACAUCAGAUGUUUUACAUGUAUAUAUAAUAUAAUUAAUAAAUUUAAUAAUUAAAAGAUAUACACAUUAUAAAAUAGUUUUGAAUCUAUCAAUACGUAAGCAUGAAUAUAAUCGAAUAUAGGAGCUACAUAAGGAGCUAAAUAACUGAGAAAUUGAAAAUUUUCUAAAGAUAAAAUUGUAGUUCAAAUAAAAAAAGCAUUAUAAGCAUCUUCAAAGGUAGGAUACAAAACUCCAUUAACAGUUCGUAUAUCUGUGUAGCUGGUUGAUACUUUGUUCUUGUUUAAAAGAAAACUCAGAUAAAACAAUUCGCUUGUGUUGGAGUUAUUUUCAUGGUUAAUCAUUGUUUUCUCUUUGUUCUUACUAUUAACUUCCAUCCAAUCUUGAUAUUGCGAAGUUUGAUUUGCCUUUGUUGAAACAUCACCUAAAUCAUCAGCUUCAUGUGUAGCUUCUAUGUCAUCUUUUUCAUAUUUUUUUCUCUUCAUCUAUAGCAAAUAUGAUUAACAUAAAGUUAUAAAUUAUAAUGGACAAAAACACAUAAGAAACUUUGAAAUCCAAAUCAAUAUUAUUAAUACUUAGAAAAUGUAAUAAUGAUUAAAGUGCACAUGGGUAACUUUCUAUUAUCUACAAAAUAGACACACAUAUCAUAUAUAUAUCACCGUCUUAAAAAAUCAUUUAUAUACAUGAGAUAGGUAGUAAAUGUUUUGUCUAUAAUAUUUAUUACUUUAAAACACAUUUAAGAUAACAUUAUAAGUUAGAGUUAUUAUUUUCAAUGUCUUGAUGAUGUUUGAUAUUCUUUACAGGAUUGUAUUAUUAUGUAUAACAGUUUAAUUCAGAUUGGAGGUAGAAAAACUAUCACCUUGGAAGAUAAUUGAAGAAAAAAAUUUCACUUUCUCGCUAACAAUUUGAAAAUCUGACCUUUGAAUACUGGUAGAUAUUGAUGAUUGAAGACGAAUGAAUUGAAGAGAUUUUCAAUGUUAGGGUAUUAAAUGGUUUUACAAAUAACUGAGAAAAUAGUAGAUUAAUUUAUAGGAGAUGAAGAAAAUAAGUAAAUAUUUAAAUCAAUGUAGCUUAAAACUUGAAUGAGAAAAAUUAGGAAAUUGUUAGUUUAUAUUUAGACUCCAGAAAAAAGGAUAUAGCAAAGAAAACUUCAAAACCAACUAAUUUUUCAUAAUAAUCUGUCCAUAUAAUUUUUUAAUAAAAACAUUUGGGGUAUUUUGUUUUUAUUGUUUUUUUGUCACAGAAAAGGUUGUAGUUUAUAUUUUUACAUGGAAAUUGAUUUGUAUAUUUGUGUUUGGAAAGUUUAAACAAUAGUAAUAGCAUUGUUUAAACUAUAAUAACAUUUUUUUAUGUCAACAAAAAACCUAAAUACAUAGAUCCUGACAAUAUAAGGCCUUAUAUUUGCAGUUUCUAGUGAAUCAAAAACUUGAUUUGAUUUUAUUUAUGAUUUUUUCAAUUACAGGCCCAAGGCCCAACUUUAAUCAUUCUCCGACAAUACUCGUUUGACCUUUCGUGUUUCAUUCUAGAAAAAUUCCAGCUUGAAACGAACACUGCUUCUCUCUCUCUCUAAUACCACCAAAAGGAUCGUGUCUCAAAUUCAUGGAUCUUUAAAAUUCUUCUCCAACCCGUUCAGGUACUUGUAAUAUCCUUCGUUUUCUUGUUAAAGUAUAGAUUCUGGGAUAUAUUCUCUAAUUUUGAGCUGAAUCUAAUAGUUUGCGUAAAUUAAAGUCUUUGUUUACAGUAGUUAGAAGAUGUGACUUAAGAGGACUCCGUUUAUUCCAAUGAUCGAUCUUACCGAAGCUGGUCAUCGUAGAGCUAUUAUAUGUGUCUGAAGUAUAUUUGAAGGGAGCCAAGUUCGAUCUACUUAAUCGAGAAAGGCAGAAAGCAUCAUUGGCUAUUCUCUGUCCAGCUGUGUGACAAAGAAACUCAAUUAGUGUCUCAUCACCGACGAUUCAUCUCAAACUAAAUCAGAAAAGCUUCAUUUCCGAUCUGUAAGUUAACUUUUAAAGCUUUGUUCUUCUACUUAAUCAGGAUAAAUUAUGGAAAUUAAAAAACUAAAUGAGGUGGAAUAAGGGCUUGUCUUAACCUUUUCAUAAAUAUUUUGGUUGAAAGUGAAAAGUGCUUUUGAGUAAUCUUGGUCCCAUCUUUGUUUCAGUAGUUGGAAGUAAUGAUGAUUGGUGAAACAUGAAGGUGAUCUUGACUCUUCUCAUUUAUAAACAUGAAGGUGAUCAUAUCUCUUCUAGUAAUAGUAUUGAUGUUUUGUGAUAUUGCCUUAAGGUUCUUAUAUUUUAUGUCUUAGUUGUAAAUGUUACAGUAGUUUUACAGUAAAUAAAAUAACUAAAUAUUAUCUGCUGUAGUGUUCGAUGUAAUGAAACUCUUGUAUUUGUUCUUCAGGACGAAAUAACUAAAAGAAGAAUGAGCAAAUGGAGCAAAGGAAAUCAAUCAAACCGUUCUCAAAAUAACCUUAAGCAUUGGCAUUUCAAGUAAGUCUCUCUAAACAACUUUUAAAAGGAAGAACAGGUUUAGAAUUGUGGAACAUAAAUUAGGAUUGGUAGAACAAACGGAAUACAAAUGUUAAAUGUCUGAUGUAUGUCUACUUGUGUUAUUUCUUGCUUGACUCCUUUAGACAAACCUUAGCAAGAGUUCUUACGUAUAAGUGUUUUGCUUUAAUGUAUUUCUGUUGUGUUGUUACUUGCUAGAUUAAAUUACUUAUAUAGACAUUUAGUUCAAACGUUUCCAAAUAAGUUCAGAGUCUGAAAGUAAAAGCAAUAAGUUUUAGAAGUCAAAACACACAGCAAAAUAAAAAUUACAAUUAGAGAUUCUGAAAAAUCUCUUUGAAAACAACAUUCUUUGUCUCCUUCUUAGGCUUUCCUUCCUCGUCAACAAUUAAAAUCUUCAAUCCCUUCUUGGAUGUAACCCUGGAGACAGCUACAUAUAGUUGUCCAUGAGAGAAUACAUCUCUUGGAAGAUACAAACCUACAUGAGAUAGUGAUUGACCUUGACUCUUAUUAAUUGUAAUAGCAAAUGCAACUGCAAUAGGGAGCUGCCUCCUCCUCAUCUUGAAAGGCAAUUUCUUAUCUGAUGGUGUUAUAGAAAUUCUAGGAAUGACCACAGUUUUUCCCACCUUUUCUCCUGUAAUCACUUUCGCCUUUACCAUUAAAUCAUCCAUCUCUGUAAUCUGGAGUCUAGUGCCAUUCAUCAGUCCGUUUGUAUGAUCGAUGUUUCUAAGCAGCAUAACCGGACAGCCGACUUUCAAACGAAUGCUAUGAUUUGGAAGACCAGAAGCCUUGAUGGUGUUUAAAAAAUCGGGAGUGAGAGCUUGGUCAUUAAAUGAGAAUCGAUCAGAAGCAUCAAUGGAGUCAGAGCUUAAGUAAAUUCUUUCUUCUCCUGCAUGUUACAAACUCCAAUAUGAAAUCCAGUUGCAGAAAACAAUUGCAAAAGCCGAAAAAUUUCACCAAAAAAAUACUAUACCUGGUAGUUUAUCCAACAUGUGCUGGUUAAUCUUGUUGACAUCCUCAUUCGUAGGACACAAAAUUGCUCUCUCUUGAAAAAACUUUGGCUCUUUAUUCUGCUGUAAAGAAACAACAUCACCAUACACUGCUCUGCUAAUUGAUUCUAUUGGAUCAUCUCCAUCAGUAAUAAGAAACUCUUCUGGAAUAUUGAUUACUACUUCUCCAUCAUUCUCUUCACCAAUUUUUCCAUCCCCAACAUCUAAAAUCCACUCUGAGAAUUUCUUUAAUUCCUUUGCAUCUUCAGCAUAUAGGUUUUCAGAAAGUAGCCUCAUAUUCUUUGUCAGUUUCAUCACUUUGACAUGCUUCCAUAAAUAUGAGGAAUUAAGAGAAUCCAGUACUAUUUCUGCUCUUCCAGCACCAUGUAUGACAGGUAAUACUUGUCUAAAAUCACCUCCAAAUACAACUACUUUCCCACCAAAAGGUCUCCUGUCCUUGUUCCCCAAAAUGUCUUUCAUACUCCUAUCCAAAGAUUCAAAACAGUGUCUGCUCAUCAUUGGGGCUUCAUCCCAAAUGAUUAGAGAAGCUGCUUUUACCAGAUUAGCCUGAUCACUACCUGGAAUGAGUGUGCAAGUGGAAAACUCAUCUGGGUUUAUCGGUAUUCCAAACCUAGAAUGUGCUGUCCUUCCUCCUUGUAGCAAUAGAGAAGCUAUCCCACUUGAUGCAGUGUUCAAACAUAUUUCUCCUUUGUAUCUGAUUGCUGCAGACAACAAUUUCCAGAGGAAGGUUUUACCAGUUCCACCAAAUCCAUAAACAAAGAACACACCUCCUUUUUCAUUUGCUACUGCAUCAACAAUCUCGUCAUAGAUCUUCCUUUGCUCCUCUGUUAGUUUGACAAUGUCUCUGUCAUGCUCGGCUUUCAUCUUCUCCCUAUCAUAACUCAGCUCAUCUAAAAUCAACACAUUGUCAUUCCCACCAAUGUCUGGAGCUGGCUUUGGCAUAUAUUCCCAUUGAUCUAAAGAAAAUCCAUUUCUCUUUAAAAUCUUCUCAAUCUCUAGAAGAGCAAACUGUAUUUUUUCAUCAUCACUUAAACAGAGAUCUACAAAGAAGUAAAACAACAAACAAAUUAGACAUAUAAUGUUCCUUUUAGAAUGUUGUUUUAUCAGUGUAAAUAGAGUUAUGUUCAAACCUGGUCUGUUUAGUAGCUUUCUCCGUUUAUACUCUAUAUCAUCACAUAGUAACUCCCAUGUAUUCUCCCAAACAACUUCUGGCUCUGACAAACUACCAGACAUGAGCAUUAUAACAAAAGCAUGCCGCAUAUGUCCUGCUGAUUCAGUGAAACUCGCCCUCACAAGAUCAUCAAUAUAUUCUUGAUCGUCAUCUAGUAAGCCCCUCGCGUAGCACGCCUUCUUAUAUGUAGGAUACACAACAUUGUUGAAUGUUCGAAUCUCCUCAAAACAUGUUGGACCUCUAACUAUGUUUAGCAAAACACGCAAAUAGAAAGCUUCUUCAAUUUUCCUUGGGGCAUAAUUGAUCCUACCAAUACUGAAUCCUUUCUUUCUAUCGUGGAACUUUCUCUCAUUCUUAUUCCACGUGAACUUAGUUGGGAUUUCUGCAAACGUUAGCUUUCUGGCAACAUCACUCACCUUGCACAAGUCAAACCAUGCUGUGAACAUAGUAUUUUCAAUAAGCUUGCGACUGGUCACUUUGUCAUAAGUGUCAUCAUCUUUGAAAAUAAUAAUCUGCUUUCCUGGUAAGUGCCACUGCAGUCGCUCAACUGGGACUGAUCGAUAGUGAAUAGGGAACUUAAAAGUCCUCCAUGACCCUUCACAUGCAGAAACAUAUCUGAAAAUUUAUGAAAUCAAAAUUAGUUCAGUAGCUGAUGACAUUUAGAAGUCAACAAUAGCAGAAAAAGACCAAAUAGAAAUUAACCUGCAGUUGAAGAAAUUUUUGAUCUCAUUUUCCUUUUCAACUUUUACUGUUCCAUCAGUCCCAACCUUUUGUUUAGCUGGUCCUUUUUCUGGUGGCACAACAGUAACAGUGACACGAUCUUGACCUUUAUUAAUAUACUUGAAUAAGUAUUUAAUAGAACCAGUCUGAUUACACCAUUCCACAUUUAUAUGGGCUCGAUAACGAAGGGAUAAUUCCUUAUUAUACGGUAUAACAUAUCUGUUGUCGCAGUUGAAGCCAUUUUUCUCUACAAAGCAACCAGGCAUUUCACUCCUUCUAUAAACUGGAAAGCCAUCUUUGUUCACUAUCGUUUUCUCAACAUGAUCUUUAGGAUACAGCUUUGAACAUUUGCCAUUUUCCAUGCAUGGUGACUUCAUAUUAACUGCCCCACAAGGACCAUGAAUCAUCAUAUCCUUUACCACUUCAAACAACUCUGGUUCUUUUUCCUUAUCUGGUAUUUCUGCGGAGAUGAUCUUGUCAAUGUCAUUUGUUGUAGGAAAUUUGGAUUUCGAAUGCAUGAAUAUCAGAAUAUGAGCAUGUGGUAGGCCACGUUUCUGAAAUUCAACAGUGUACAUUGCUGCUUAUGAAAAAGAGAACGACAUUAGUUACUAUAGAAAAUACCAUAUUAUAUCAGAAUAAAACACCCAUGUAAUAAAACUCACAUGCCACUGUCUUUCCAAGAAGCUCCUUAUAUGUUAAAUCAUACAUAAGCGAAUCCAAUUUACACUUAAAUAUCCUGCAGAGAAUAUCGGGUCUGUCAUCAGGACUGAGUUUGCGUGGCUGAAGAUACCUGGUGAUUUCAGGCCAUUUAGGAUUGCAUGUAAAGGUUAUAAACAGAUCUGGAAACCCGAAAUAUUUGCAGAUCGCCAUUGCAUCUAGAUACAUAUUCUUCAUGUAUCUUGGUCCUCCAACAAAUGUGGCUGGUAACAAAAACCGACUGCCUUGAUCAUGCAUAUCUAUCUUCCCAUCAUUUUCAGACUGCUGAAUAGAGUCAAAGCUAUCUGAUCUAAGGCUUUUCUGGUUCAUCCUCAGAUAGCACAAGCGGUUAGACUCUAUAGUUGUAAAAGCAUCAACCAAAAACUGUUGGAAUAGCCUUUUAGAGUGCAGAAGUGUAUGACUUUCCCCAUCUCUCUCCUGAAUCCGAAAUGCAUACCACUGUCUCAUACUAAUAUUUUUCCUCUUCAGUUUUGCUGUAGCAUCUGUAGGUCUUUUUUUAAUCCCAAGUCUGAAACCAUCCUCACCAUAUGUAAAUAUAAGAGGAUAUUGAAGAGCUAGAUAGGAAGGAUGUAUUUCACUUAUCCGUUUCAGCCAUCCUGUUCGCUUCUCUUCCAAAACAAUAUCUCUUUUAUCCAUUUCCAAAUUGAAAUCACCUGGAAUUAAUGCAGCCACCUCAGAUGCAGUAGGAGUAUCAUAUGUCCUCCCGUCUUUCUCGCGACUGCUGACAAUCCGCAUAUGGAAAGUAGUCUCUGGAUUAGUAUUAAACCUAUCCCUUGCUGAGCGGAAUUGAUGCACAUAUGGAUUAACUUCGUUUAGCAUCUCAACUAUCUUCUGAAUGACUUGUUUUCUCAAACUCUCUUUUUUAGCCUUAUCAGCAGAUUUCUUGUAUUUCCUGGUUAACAAUGACAAUGUACACAUUCUUAGAAUAUCAAAUAAUAUAGAAACAUAGGCUAUCUCGCAGUACUUAUUUAUUUAAUAACAUACCCUAUGAUGGCGGCUCUGUUUUCAAUUUCGUUUUCAGUGUCAACAAUGUAAAGCUGAGAAAACUUGGCUUCUUCUCCAUCUUGUGGCUUCAAACUACCCAUUAAGUGAUAGUUUUCUCCUUGAAGCUGAAACAUUUUUGGUCCACGUCCUUGCGGAACACAUCUAUCCACUUUACCCCCAAGAGAUGUAAAAGAAAAAACCAUAUUAAUCUGCCUGAUAUUUUCCCGAAAAUAUCUGCUCAUAUCAUCAUCUCCAUGAAGCAAUCUUUUCAAGACCUCCGGUGAUUCCUUUAGUAUUGGUAACUGAACUUGACCUAGUCCACAACACAUAGAAAAUUUUGGUUUCUUGAUCUUCCUUUUCUUUUCAAUGCGUUCACCAUACCACAUUUUCGCACCACAGUAGUCACAAAUGUAAGUAGGAUCACCCUCAUCUAAAUACUCUAUUAAAAAUUAAAAAUUAAUCAGUGUUUGUUAAAAAGGUUAUAUUGAAAUACAAAAACGAAAAAAAUUAUUAUUACCUGUAGUAUUUGAUUUUGAUUCUGAUGGUAAAGUAGAUGAAGAUUCACCUUGGUUGAACGUUGAUUUGGAUUCAUUCACCGGAGAAACAAUAUCUUCGAACAUGGUUUUAAAUAAUUCAGCCAUACUCAAAAUCCUAGACCUUUGUUCAUCUGGUACAGAACUUCUUCCAGUAUUUUUUUCAGUGUUACCAGUAGCUACUUCAUACGAAUCACUAUCUUCACUACUAACACCAUAACUCUGAUCACUAUAAUCGUCACCCUCCUCUGUAUAUUAAUAAAAAACAGUAUCAUGUAUAUGGUUGAUAUGUUUGUUUGAAAAAACUGUGACAAUGCAUACCAUGUUCAUCCUCUGUGUUGUUAUGUUGACUUGUUGUCCACACUUUUGAAUUUUGCUGCUUUGCAAUGUCUGCCUUGGAGAAGGCUGGUAAUAGAUUAGUAGGUUGAAUUUUGAGACAUGAACUCCUUCUUGAAAUGAUGUUCGAGAACUGAGCAGACUUGUUGUUAUAAUCACCUCCUCAUCAAAACGAUUAAAGGAAAUAACAAUAUCAGUUGACAUAACUAAACCAAAUGGUUAUUUAAGUUAUUUUUUAAAAAAAAAAAUUGACCCAGCUUACCAUUACCUCUAAAUCUCUUAGAAUACUGAGGCUGCUUUCCUUUAGCUUUGUCUGUAAGUGUAAACACAACAAAAUAGAAUGAAUCAAAUGCACUUAAAUUGAUUAGUCACUGACUACAAACCAGACAAACAGUAACACAUAAAACUGUAAUGGGUUAAGAAAAAUCACCAUAGUUUUGAUUUCUUGAACUUAAGACAUUUGAUGGAUGAGUAAAACGCUGACUACUCCUUGAUAGUGAUAAUGUCGGAGUUAAAUUUGAAACAUCUUUCAGCACUGAACGAUUUCCAAUAUCGGAUUUUGUCCCCUCAGACGAUUGAGAAUCUGAUGGCGUUGGAGUUAUAGGUUGAUGAUUUGGUUUCCUCUUCCGUGUAUCAGAUUCUUUGUUCUUCAUGUUUGGUUUUGGUUACUGCUACCGGAGAUGUUAGUUUUCAUUGAAAUCUCAAAUAACCAUCCUUAUUAUGUAAAGAGUGUUAGGGUUGCUUUAUAUGAUCGUGGGUUAGCUUUCAGAAAAUAAAUUUAAAACACCUUGCGUUUAAAUUAACUUGCUUACGAUGUGUAUCAAAUAAGUCGAUAUAUUUGUAUUAAUUUGAAAAGAUAGAUACAAUAUUUAUCCACUUAUGUUUGAUUAAUUUUCAUAUUUUUUAUUUGAAUCAAUCUCAUAAAUAUAAAAAUAACUAAACUUGUAUAUUUAUGUUCUAAUAAUACACCGCCCAUAAUUGAAAUGGAAUAAAUUAGAACAAUACAAAACUUGUAAUAUAUAAUUGGAAAUUAUAAAUAUUGGGGUUUAAUUUUUUUAUUAUUAAUUUAUUAUUAUUAUUUUUAUUUUAAUUAUUAUGUUAUUAAGGUUUAACUAUAAACGUUAGUUUAGACUUUAGUCUUACAAUAUUUUUAGAGUUUUUAAGCAGACAUAAAAAGACGUAAAUAACACUGCAUUGGUAAUCAAAGUUCAAAUAAAACCAAACACUUGCAAAGAACAAACUUACUGGAAACAGAAAACAACAAACUUACUGGAAACAGAAAACGACAAACAUAAAUCAUAAUGAAAACAUAAAAACAGAAAACGACAAACACAAAGCACAAUUCCACACUUCCUUAGCCACUUUUGUUCGAGUUUCACUGCUGCUUGAGACCUUUUUCUUUUUUCACAAACACUCUGGUACAAUGUUUCUUUGAUGACGAAGUGAGUUCAGUUGGGCCGGAGAGAUGUUGUAUCGACAUUGCAACAAUCAUGAAGUUCAUAAGUUCCUAAUGUAGAACAUACGAGUUGGGACUUGCCAAAUAAAUGAUGAAAAUCAGGAGAAUGUGACACUUGAUACUCAAAUUGAUAAGUAUAUAUAAAAUAUACAAUAAGCAUGUCAUACGUACCUCACUUCAGUCGAUCCAAUGAAGCUCAGCAGACUAUGCAUGACAAAGUUCUGGAUGUUUUGGUCUGCCAAUAAUACACUCUCAAUAAGUCAACUCAAGCUAGGCUAAAGUUACCAAUAGCUAUUUGAGAGAAUCAAUACCCAUUACAAAGCCAUGAAGAACUGGCUUACUCUCGUCUAGAGAUAGAUGCAACUCCUCAAGGCUGUCACUUUUUCCAUUCUCAAUCAAAUGCUUUAAAAACACUUAUGCAAUAUACAUUGCAUUAACAGCUUUCUUAUAGAUAGAAGCCUGAUCAUCAUCAGAAGCUUGAAGAACCUCUUGCAAACACCACGAUAGAUGAAUCAACAGUUUCGCAAGGUGCCUAGUGUAUACAUUGUUUUGCGCUGCAAAAAAAACAAAAGCAUCUCUAAUGCUCUCGACAACACACAUCUUUCUAUUUCAGUAACCGUAGAUCAAAAACCCUAGAAUUAAACACAUUGUGCACGAGAAUGACUAACGGAAGAGCUCGCAGGCUUGGUGAACCCGAUCGCUAGGCCACCGAGAGCUCGACGGAAGCUCGAGCAGCUUGUUCCAGAAAUCAAACGCCAAGGGAAACGAUUUCUCCCCGACGAAAGUCGUAAUGAGAUAUUCCGCCACGGAAAACAUCAUCACCACCGCCGGUGUUUCGCGGCGUCGACGGCGCGCCUCCCAUGUCUCCUUCUCCUUAAGCCUUGCCGAGUCAACGAGGGCGUAGUAUGAGUCAGUUAUGGUGAAGAUCAAAAACAAUGCGAAGACGGAGGAGACGUCGAUGAAAUUCGAUCGAGUCGUCGUCAUCCGUCGUCUUGGAUCCUUCCUCUGACGGAGAACACUAGAAGACGAAAGAAAGAGAGUAAAAAAAAAUUAAAUGAGAUGUUGACACGUGACGCUUAAAAUCGGUCUCAAAAAUCCUAAGCUAAUGAUCAGUUAUCUUUCAUUUAUUUAGUUUUAAUUUAAUUAAAUCAAUAAUUUUGUUUAAAAACCCCACUAAAGAUCAGCGAUAAUCAAUCUUAGAUUUGUGAUAAAAGAGAUGUAGUUUAUGUUCAACCCCUUCAGUAAAACAUGACCCUAUAAAAUUGCAACUUGAGCUUUGUUGGUUUGACUUUUUGGUCUACAAUGAUAAGAAUUCAGUGAGCACUGUACUUGAGGAAAAAUACAUUUUUUGGACCCAAACAUUUUGUAUCGUGCAUUUUUAUAUCCAAACAAAUCAUAAAAUCAAAACCAUACAUGAACUUCAGUCCGUAGCAUAAAAACAUGUCUUGACUAACAUCUUGUUAGUCAACUGUUAUAUUGGAUUAAAAAAAUUACAUUUGAUGAGAAUCAAACCGUAGGGGAAAAUUGCCAAAUAUGACUCACAACUUGAUUUCAAACACAAAGGUUAACCCAAACAUGAAUCAAAUGCAAAAGUAACCUAAAAAGCUAUUGAAAUUACAACCAACCCCUUGUGAACAAACAAAAAAACCGAAUUUUUUUUUACAUUUUUAACCCUCGUAAGUCGUCUGCCCAGACGUCUUUCUGGAAAGUCGUCUGGACUAGUUUUACUUAGAAAUAAUUUAAAAUUUUGUAAAAAAUAUUUUGAUAAGUGAAAAAUUGAAAUCAUGUAAUUAACAUAUGUUUUAAGAGAUAUAAAUUAAGAUAUAACAAAAGUUAAUUGUUUUCAACAUAGAUGAGUGAAAGUAGUGAGUCAUGAUAUUCUUCGGUUUAGGUUUUGCCAACAUAUGUUGUAGUAUUGUAUGUGUUCUUAGGGUUAGAUUUUGGAAUGCAUAAAUGUUUUUUGGAAAACUUUAAAAUUUACCUAAGUGUUUUUAUUUUUGUGUAUAAUAAACACUAUUUAAGUAUAACUACGGGUUUAUAACGUGGUUAGUUAGUUAAUUUAGUCAAUUUAGUUUAGGGGUUAAAUUUAGGGUCUGGGACGACUUACUAGUAAGUCGUCCAAACCUUUAAUUUUACAAUGUACUUUUAAACCUAACCGGAUUAUUUACCGGCCAUAUAUAAGGUGUUUUUUUUUCACUGUUUAUCAAAAAUCAGAAGCUGUUUCUCUCAAAGGUGAUUUCAAAGGCGAUUUCGGUCGAUUCUCUCUAAUCCAUCGUUCUCAUCGUUCUCACCGCCGGUUAUCUCUCCGCCGUUAUCACCGUCGUUCUCACCACCGUUCUCACAGCCGCUUCCUCUAUUUAAGAUCCGAGAGGAAACCCUAGUGCGCAUUCUCUCAGAGGCAUCUCGUUGAACUCCGCCGCCGGUAAGUUAUAUCUUUUACUGUCGAGUGAUUGAUUGAGGAAAAGAUGAACAUAAAACUGGAAGUCUUGGAAGACUUAUAAUUAAGUCGUCUGGAAAGUCUUCCAGCUGGAAGAAUUUCCAGACGACUUAAUUAUAAGUCUUUCAGCUGGAAAACUUGUUAGAUGACUUAAUUAUAAGUCUUUGAUUGUUUGAGAUGGUUGUCUUUGAUUGUUUUGCAGGCAAAAAAAAUGGAGAUGCCAGAACUCCCCCGUAGGAUAUAUACAUUAGGGGAAGAGCCCCCCGCAGUGCAUAGCAUUUCGUAUCAUACUUGUUGGACGUUGCAUGCUGCUUUAAAGAAAGCUCUUCAUGAUGAUGAAUAUGAAGAGCUGAAGGAGUCGAAGUUGGGAGUUUUCAUCAAGUUCCAAGAGCUGGGAUUUGAUUGGGCUUCAAGGCUGGUUCACUACAUGCUCGGUUUCCAGCUGGACAUAAAGAAGAAGUAUGAGCUGUGGAGUCUUGUUGGUUCAGAACCUGUGAGGUUUUCACUGUUAGAGUUUGAACUCCUCACUGGUCUAAACUGCGAGUACAUCGAGGACCUUGAGAGACCUCACUCUGUUGUUACAAAGGAGUUGACUUCUUUUUGGGAGAUGCUGGUAGUUCAUGUCGAAGCUGGGCCAUCUACUCAGGAGAUAAUAGCAGCACUUGAGAGAUGCGAAGGGUGGUCUCAGGAUGAUCACAAGCGGCUCGCGUACCUUUCCAUCUUCACUGGAUACAUUGAAGGGAGAAAGUAUUCAACCCCUACACGGGUUAGUCUGGCAAGGCUAGUGAUGGAGCUAGAACGGUUUGAGAAUUAUCCAUGGGGGAGAGUCGCGUUUAAGAUGCUGAUGGACUCUGUGAAGGGCAUAGAUAUUUCGGGUUGGUACACUAUUAAUAAGUUUGUGCAAGCUCUCCAGGUCUGGGUGUACACAGCUCUUCCGGAAUUGGGUGCUACUUUUGGUAAUCCUCUCCCAAACAAUCUGUCUCCACCGAUACUGGCUUACAAGGGUCGUAAAGGACGCAUACAGUUUAAAGAGGCUAUCCUCAGUCAGGUAUUUACUUCAAUCUGGACGACUUCGCAGUAAACUUAUAAUUAAGUCGUCUGAUAAGUCUUCCAAUUAGACGACUUAGUAGAAGACUUAUAAUUAAGUCGUCUGGAAAGUCUUUCAGCUGGAUGACUAAGUAGAAGCCUUAUAAUUAAGUCGUCUGGGAAGACUAUCCAUACUACUUAAUUAUAAGUCUUCUACUAAGUCUUCCAGUUGGAAUACUUUCCAGACGACUUAAUUAUAAGUCGUCUACAAAGUCGUCCAGCUGGAAGACUUUCCAGACGACUUAAUUAUAAGUCGUCUGUGAAGUCUUUUCUUUCCAUCUUUCUUAAUCUGUCAAAUAUCUAAGUUCAUAUCUUCUAUUCACUGCAGACUAGGGUGAUCAACUUUGUUCAAAAGGACACUGGUGAAAUAUUUCCAAAAUGGGAGUUUGAUGUUGAGGACACGCUCUCGGAGAACAUAAUUAAACUCAUGUUUGUGAAGAAACCGUGGAAGUGGACCAUGGAUUGCUGGGAAGUCACCGGUACUUGGGUCAAUACAAAGCCGGUGGUUGUGAGUCCAGCGAAGAAAAAGGUAGUGAAGGAAGACAGUCCAAGACCUCGGAAGAAAGCUCGUAAAGAGGCACCUGUUGCAGCUGCAGAGGCUAGUGAAGAGGCAGGUUCAGAGGCUAGUGAAGAGGUGACUACGACUGUUGGUGGGUUGACCAAAGAGGAUAUUAAAACCAUUUUCAAGGACAUAGCUGAUGCCAUGAGGGAAGGGUUUGGGACGUGCCUUAAGGAGAUCAAGUAUCUGUCGGAAAGGGUGGAAGCUGUGGAGAAGAAAGUUGGUAUCACCACAAAACGGAAAGGGGCAUCAUCUAAAACACUACCUCUCCACCUAAACCGACGCUCGAACCCGGGGUUAGUAACAAAUCCUCUCCCAAAAAGAGAUUGACUAGACAAACUCUUAAGAAUAAGAAUUGAAAAGUUGCAUUUGCUUUGUUUCUUGUAUGUCAGAACAUGUGUGCUUUGUUUAUAGUGUAUGGAUUUUAUAUAUGUAUUUUGUUUCACGUUUGAAGACACUCAUUGGUUAUUAUUGUUUGAAAUGGAUCUUUGGUUAUUAUUGUAUAAACCCAUCUUGUAUAUUGCAGAGUGAAAGUGACAAUGGGACGAACGCGGGAAGGAAGAGCUUGGCGGAGGAUAAAGGUCCAGAUGUGCCCGCAGAUGUGCCUGCAGCUGUGCCCGCAGAUGCUAGUUCCUUGGAAGAUAAAGCUCCAGAACCGAGCCUUGUUCUAUUGGACAAAAAUCAAUCCACUGUUUCAGAUUUACAGAAGGAGGAUGCUAGAUAUCUAGAAAAGAGGGAUGCUGCUUUGGCACUUUGCCGUGCAAAGAGUGAUCGAACAAGGAAACUUGCUGCCUCACAAAAAUCUCCUUAUACGGCAAACAGCACGGCCAAAGUGAUCAUUUUAAACAGAAAGCUUUAUCCAGGCUAUAAUCCUUUUGCACCAAUUGACAAGAAUAAGUUGAAGGAGCUCGCUGAUUGGUUGAAAUCUUGUCCGUAAGUGUUUGCUUUUCCCAUAAUAGCCUGCUUUUCACAUAAUAGCUUGCUUUUCCCAUAAAACCUGAUUGUUUUUCAACAUUUUGUGUUUGCAGUCAUUAUAGAACAACUCUCGAUAAAAAACCACGUAAAGGUAGAACUUGGUGGUAUCAAAUCCUCCAAACCUCCCUAGAGUGGCUGGAGGACUUUGUAAGUCUUCUGCUAUGACGACUUAUCAGACGACUUAAUUCGUCUACGACUUACUUGUAAAUCGUCUGGUAAGUCGUCUACGUAGAAGACUUACCACUAAGUCGUCUGAUAUCUUCGGACUUGUACUUUAUUUUAUAUGCAGCAUAUUGAUGGUUGGAUUAAUGUGCUGAGUAAGAGGUACGACGCUAACCCACAACAUUUCAGGAGCGAGAGAAUGUGCUUCCUUGAUCAUCUCUUUGCUCAGCAAUGGAGAUUCAACUUCAAGGAUUUUAAGGACUCGAAGCCCAAUCACAACGGUUUAGGAAGAAGACUCCCUGGUGGGGCGUGGAAUUAUUAUGCAUGCAUUAUACCAUCAUUUUGCCAAUCGAACAAGGUUUAGGGGACGGAUAUUGAUGAUAUCUAUGUGCCAGUAAACUUCGCCGACAGUCAUUGGAUUGCUAUGUGGAUAUCGAUCCCUAAGAGGCACAUAGUUGUCUUUGACAGCAUUUGUUCUAGUAUCUUCCCAGAAGAACUCGAUGUGGUAAUGGAGCAUUUUCUCUACAUGGUCCCCUAUCUGCUUGUUGAGUGCGCUUCCUCAGAUGAACUACAUGCCCAAUACAGCCUGGAGCCAUUCACAUAUGAGAGACCGACCAAUAUACCUCCGGCCCGAGCUGGUGAUUGUGGCGUUUACACUCUAAAGUACAUUGAAUGUCAUGCUCUUGGGAUAAAGUUUAGUAAAAAAGACUUUGCUAAGCCCAACGGGAAGAGUAUGGGGGAUAAGAUGGCGGUAGAUAUAUUUUAAGAGCUUCCUGACGCGCAUGAGUUCGAAAACAAGGACAUGGAUGACAUCCUGAGUACGUAUGACGGGUGAUAAACAGGCCACUUUAUAUUAUUUUGUAUGACAGUUUAGGCUGAUGUGUGUAUUUGAACUUGAUCCCUAUUUUGUAUUUGAACUUGAUCCCUAUUUUGUAACUAUAUUCUGCGCAGAAGACUUACAGUUAAGUCGUCUGGAAUGUUGGACGACUUAACUAUAAGUAGUCUGGAAAGUCUUCUGAGCAGUGACCUUUUGUAACUAUAUUUCGGAUAAUAUAAAGGGCAAGAUCAUCUCAAAUUUGUUUGGUUGUGCAAUUUGACAAAGAAGUUGACACAGAUAAGUUCAUAACACAAAUUUUUAGUACAUAGACUGCACACUGGAUGACUAACUUGAAGGUCUUCUGGAAGAAAAAACCCUGGACGACUUAGUUGAAGGUCUUCUGGAAGAUUAAUCACUGGACGACUAACUUGAAUGUCUUCUGGAAGAAAAAACCCUGGACGACUAACUGGACGACCUUCUGGACGACUUAAUUGAAGGUCUUCUGGAAGACUAAUCACUGGACGACUAACUUGAAGGUCUUCUGGAAGAAAAAACCCUAGACGACUAACUGGAAGACCUUCUGGACGACUUAAUGGAAAGUCUUCUGGAAGACUAAUCACUGGACGACUUACAUUGUGGUUUCGUAUGGCCAGUUUCCUUGCAUUUUGAGCAUCUAUAACCCUGUGUUGCUUCCGGGGUUUGCGUCCUCUCAUCCUGGAUAGCUCCAACCAAGAUUGCCAUCUUGAUUUCUUCUGUCUUCCCGGACCACGUUUUACUUCCGGAGGAAAGCAUGUGCGUUCCUCAACUUGUUGUCCAACACAAGGAUAUAUAUUCUCUGAGUAUCCUGCAAACAGAAAAUCCUUUGAGUACACUGGACAUACAAGUGUGGAGAUAUGCAAACCAACAGAUGUUCCAGCAGCUAUAACAUGAGAGCAAGGUAUUUUCUCCACUGCAUAGACACCACAAUCACACUUUCCAUGUUCCAAAUCAACCACACAGUCCAUUUUCCCACCUUUCACAAAGAAUCGCCAUCCAUCAAUUGGUUGUACCGUCAUCGUAUCCGCUAUCUCCGAUCGAACAACAAGCAAGUAUUCAACACCUCGACUAUGUUGAGUUGGGAGACUCAAAGCAUCUUCUCUCCUUUUCCAAAACCACUUUCCUAGCUUCUCCCUUAUGAACUCCAACAGGAACUGAACCGGAAAUCCUCUAGCUCGCUUCAGAGCGGAAUUAAUAGAUUCAGCGAUGUUGCUUGUUUUUAUGUUGUACCUGUCCCCCUGACAAUAAACCCUUGACCAUAGGCUGACGUCGGCAUUCUCCAAAUACGUUGCAAGAUCCGGGUUUGCACUCCGUAUCUCAGCCAUGUACCGGUCAAAAUCUGAAACCGUAUGAGCAUAAACAGCACCUUUCACCAAGUACAAGAGAAGUUUCCCUUUAUACUUUUUGACAAUGUUAUCUUGAAGGUGAUAAUAACAUAUUCCUCGUGUUGCCCAAGGAAACACCUUAUCACACGCACUUUUAAUGGCCGCGUGCCGGUCAGAGACUAUCACCAGAGGCUGCUCAUCAGAGACACAACUAGCCAAUUUUGUGAAAAACCAUUCCCAAGAAGGUUCAUCUUCAGCAUCUACGAUCCCAAAAGCCAAUGGAAAUAUCUGAAAAUUCCCAUCUUGUGCGGCUGCAACUAACAUAACACCUUCAUAUUUCCCACUUAGGUGAGUCCCAUCCACCACAAUGACCCUUUUCUGAUACUUAAAACCUUUGAUAGAAGCUCCAAAAGAGAGAAAUAAAUACUUAAAUCUAUUGAUAGAAUCAAGUUCUAUAGCCGUGAUAGAAUCGGGAUUUACUAAAGAGAUUUGCUCGAGAUAUGAUGGCAGACGCGAAUACCCAUCAUCUGUUGAUCCUCUCACCAAUGUUUGUGCAUAUAAAAGUGCUCUGUAUGAAGUGGUGUAAUCAAGCGUCAUGCCAAACAUGUUCUUCAUUGCAUCAGUGAUAUGCUGCGGAUUCAACCCAUCAAUGAUUCCAACACGAUCAAUGAAAAGCCUACCAACAUACUUCGGAGUACAGUGUCUCCGCUGAGCGAGUCGGUCUCCCGCUGAGCAUGUAUGUUUUUCCACAUACUUUGUUACCCAAAAUGUGUUUGACCCAUGUUUCACACUCGCUCUGACCUUCCAUUGACAACCACUAACCGGACAUGUUGUCACAAGGAGAGUUUUCGUUGACUUGUAUAUUCUGAAGGAGAACUUAAACCUCACUGCUGUCAACCGCAGCUCUGAAAGCAGUGCAUCCUUGCUAACAAAAAUCUGGUUGACAUAGAUAAUGUUACCAUUCGAUCUUCCUCCUUCAAUCUUUUCGAUAUCUUCAAAACACAUAUCAUCAUCUUCCUCAUCCUCAUCUUCAACCUUUCCAUAAACACUGUAAUCCUCACCAUUCUCGUCCGCUUCAGCAACAAUAGAGAUACCAGCAUCCUCCUCCACAUCGUCCUCCUCCCCAUCAUGAUUUUCAUCUUCAACCAAAUCAUCAUCAUCAUCAUCAAAACAUACAUCAGCUUCAUCAGCUUCAUCAUCUUCCCUGAACUCUGAAACCGUUUCCACCUUGCUACGGCUUGAUACACAAAGACGUACUCCAUGCGUUUUGGUUAUCUCGAGCAAGUUUCGAACUUGUCUAUCACUUGUAACAUGAAUAGGAGGGGUGUCUGGAGCCUGCAUCAUUUCUGCUGGUAAUGAGUAGGUUAUCUCCACAGAUUUUGUGCUCAUGUCCAGGUUAUAAUCUUCUUGAGCCAUUGCAAGAAGUUCACAUGUGUCGAACCUUCCCCCAAAAAAAUGAUUCUCACUCCUUGGACAUUAUCAACCACAAAAUCCCAACGACAAUCAUUCAACAACCAUUCUCCAUACACUGCAUGUAACUGACGCAUCAUCUACAAAAAUUCAAAAUAAAACACAUUAGUAAACAUAGAGAAAAUGAAAGUUUACUAAACAUUGACGCAGACGACAUACCAGUCGUCUUACUUGACUUUCAAGUAAGUCGUCUUACUUGACGACUUCCGCGUAAGUCGUCUGAGAAAAGUUAAAUAUUUAAGUUUUAUUUUCCAAUUGCAAAAGUAACAUGAGACGACUUACAGAUAAGUCGUCCAGAUUUAAUAAAAUAUUGAAAAUUUUGUUUUCCCGGAGACGACUUACUGGUAAGUCGUCCAGGAAAAGUCAAAUAUCUGACACAAUUCGGUCAAAUGCAAAACUAACAUAUUUAUCCUAGACGACUUAUCAGUAAGUCGUAUAGGGUAUUCUCUAGAUUUUUUUUUAACAAACAAAGAUGACGACUUAAAAGUAAGUCAUCCGUUUGACCAGAAGACUUACCCGUAAGUCUUCUACAGCCAGACUACUUACGGGUAAGUCUUUUACACAAACAGAUCUGGAAAAAAUUUCAGUUUCAUACCUUAAACUAGUGAGAUGACUUCCUUAGCACACAUAGUCUUCUCCAACCACCCAGAAUCUCAAACGAAGUAACCCACCAAGAAUAGUAUGCUUGAAUGGCUCUAUAAACCAUAAAAAAAUUUGUAUCAAAAGCUUGAGUUUUUUGGAUGAAUAUGGAGGCAAAGUGAAAGAGAUGUUGUUUUUAGUUCAUAACAAGUGAGAAAGAGAGAGUGUAAAUCGAUUUUAGGUGCAUUAAGAGCUUCAAAUUGGUUGUUGAUGGUGGUUGGGGUAUUGAUGACAAUGGCAAUCUUGUAAUUACUUGAAGAUGAUGAGGGUGAGAGAGUAAAAAUGUCAUUUUCGGAAGAAAAAUUUUUUUAAAAAAUUUGAUGGCAUUUUCGUGAGUAUCAUGAACUUGUGGGGUGAAUAGAACAAAAGAAAAAUCCAAAAAAAACAUGGGUUAGUUUUAGGUUUGACUUUGAGUUUUGAGUCAAUCUUGCAAAAAGCCCCAAACCGUAGUCCCACACACACGAUACAUUAUUAAUUUUUUUAUUGUUUUCUUAUUAGAAAUAAAACAUUUAUAUUUUGAUUUGUAUAUUCUAAAGAAAAAAAUAUUUUUGUUUACAAAUUUUAUUUAGUACAAAUUAUAAUUGCACCAAUAAUCUAUAUAUUUCAAGUUUUUACGCUCUUACAAAUCUACAUAUAAUAGUGAAUAUAUUUAUCUUAAAAAUUAAAACUUAACUUUUUAAAUAAACAAGUGAAAUUUUCUAAGAUAGCAUUUUUAGUUUAUUUUCACAAAAAUAGCUCUCAAUGAAGAAAAUUGCUAAAAUAAUAUUUAUUAAAGGGUAAAAAUACAUUUUUAACUAAUCUAGACUUUGUGUUUAGAGUUAAGGUGUAGGGUUUUGGAGAAAUGGUUUCAAAUUUUUUAAAAAUAUAUAUAUAUUAAAAUUUCAAAAUAAAAAAGGCUAUUUUGUCAUUUUUUUCUUCAAGUGUUAUUUUAUAACAAAAACUUGAAAAUGACUGUCUAAGAGAAUUGUUCCAUAAACAAUGCACACCAAAUUAAAUAAUCACUAUGUGUUUUUCAAUCAUAUAUAUUUACUCCAGGUUUUGAAAAUACUAAUUAAGUUUUAUAUGUUAAAUUUGUAAUUGGUAAAUCAAUUAAAAAAUCAUAAGUUUACAGGUCAAAUUUGUAAGAAGUCUAAAACAUAUGGGGGGGAAUAUAUUAAAAAGAAGAAGAAGAUGAAGCGCGUCUGAAAAAAGCUACGUUUGGUUUUAAAUCAUUUUCUCCCCUUUGGAGGUGUUGCGAGAGCGUGCGUUAAUAUCGAUUCAAAACGAAGACUGCUCCGAUGGUGAGAUCUUCUCUCGACGCUUUUUCCAAGUCUUUUGGUGUUUGUCACAAGUAUUUUUUUUUUUUACGGGGAACGCGAAUUUUGUUAGGGUUUUUGGGUACUUCUUCGUGGAGAUUAUGCAUAAGUUGUUGGAAGUCGAAUUCAGUUGAUUACUAAUGAUUUCCACUUCUAGUCCUUUCUGCAGUAGAACGUGAAUUUUUGUUCUUGUUCUUGAUUGAAACUGAGUUCCUUUUAAUGAGAUUCAAUCUUUGUCUCAUGAAAGAAAGAAAGAAAAAAAAAACAUGUAAAAGUAUCAGCUUUUGGUUAUAUAGCCUUAAAGACUUUUGGAUUUGAUGAUUAUUAGCUAGGAUUUGAAUCCGUAAUGUUAUCUAGGAUGUGAUUCCAUAUACUUGUAGAUCAUUUUAGCUCAUAGCUUAUAAUUUUUCUUGGUAAAACUUCAUUGGAUUCUGCUACUUUUGCUCUCAUGUUUGCUUUUCGUGAAAAGGAAUCCUUUUUUCUUUCAGGGGUUCUUGAGCAUUGUUAGUCAUUGCUUUACUUUUGUUCUAACUUCACAAAUGAAUUAAAAGUAGGCCCAUCUCUUGUUUCAUCGCUCUUUGGCAUAUUAUGUAAGAAAAAUGAGUGUUGUUCUGUAUUGAAUGCAAAAGAAAGUACCCUUAGACACGACUUAGUUGAUUGGUUUUUAGUUGAUAUAUUAGUUUUCAGCAAAUCAUGGCACUAUGCAUCAUGUCAGCCCAAAGUUAUUUCUCCUUCGGAAGUUGAGAUUUUUUUUUUGCAAUUUUAUGAUUCUGACCCCUUUUACUUCUCUCUCUGUGUAGGCUGAUCCUGAACUAGAAGCUAUCAGGCAGAGGAGAAUGCAAGAGCUCAUGGCUCAACAUGGCACUGUAAUAUUCUGAAUAAUAACCUUCACUUAUGCUUCUUCUCUUUUUUUUCAAUUGAGAAAAAUUGCACUUUGUGUGGCUCAUUGAUUGUGAACCAACCUAAUUUGCAGGGGAAGCAGGGCAAUCAGCAGAAUCCAGAUCAAGAGAGAGCACAAGAAGAUGCUAAAAGGUCUGUUGUCUAUUACUUGAAAGCAAACUCUAUGUUGAGCUAACCUUCUUUUCUCUGAUUGGAACAUGGGUUCAGGGAAGCUGAUGAACGUAGACAAAUGAUGCUUAGUCAAAUACUGUCUUCCCAAGCCCGAGAGAGAAGUAAGUUACCACAUCUAAAUAUGCUUUCGACUUCAUCUAGUUCCUCUUGCUUUGUUUCUUUCUUCGUGACUGUCACUGAUAUGAUAAUCUUCCACGUUGUGGUAAUGUAUCAUUUUUCUAUAGUUGCUCGAAUUGCACUGGUGAAACCUGACAAGGCUAGAGGCGUAGAGGAUGUUAUUUUAAGAGCUGGUCAAAUGGGACAGAUUGUUGAGAAAGUAAGAAUCCACUUACCUUUCCUUGUGAUAGAGUUCAUAAUUCGUUUUAUAAAUGUCUACUCAGUUUCGCUGACACUUCACGAAUGUUACGCAUCUGAUAGUUAUUGCAAUACUCUUGUUUGUUUUUAACAGGUUUCUGAGGAGCGGCUCAUAACCCUCUUGGAACAAAUAAACAGCCAAACUAGCAAGCAGACCAAAGUCACGGUACGGUCACACAAUCCUCCAAAAACACAAGUUAUCAAAGCAAAAAGCUUUGCUCUUAGUUUAACGAUAUCAUCGAGUGUAAGUUUAUCUUGGAUGUGUUUACUGUUUACAGAUCCAGAGACGUCGUGGGGUGGACGACGAUUAGGAAGAAGAAGAUUAUGCUGUGCUUUUGUAUAUCUAUGGAGAUCUCACUGUUGAGUUGGUGAGUUCUAGUUAGAUGUUACCGUGAAAUAUGUUUAUUCUGAGUGAAUCUUAAUGAUCUUCCAAAUGGUUGGGAUGUGAUAAAGAGUAAUCUCAAACUGAAACUCUGCAUUUUAUAUUUUGGACAUUUCAUUUGACUCUAACCCGACUCUUUUUUUAUAAAAAAAAAAAUUGCUUCUAUUCUGACUAAUUUUAUCUGAGUUCUUCAUGAAGAAUUAAUCAAUUUAUUGAUACAAAAUAAAUAAUUCAACUUCUGUCGGCCGUGAAGUACUGAAGCGACUAUCAUUUUCAUGUCACAAGAAUCAAAGGUCAACCGAAAUACUAAAGCAAGCAUUUGACAAAUAAGUGACGCCAUAUGGUUCAACUUUAUCGUUACUUUAUGAUCAAAAGUAUGAUUUCUGAUUAUUUUUAAAGCAUUCAUUUGUCAAAUAAGUGACGCCAUAGACCACAUUUCUAACAAACAAGCAUUAUCCAUACGUUUCCUAACGAUUUCUUUAUAACCUUCCCAAAACUAUGUAAUUACCAAGAAUAAAAUGGUCCUAGUCAGUUUUUACACUCAAAGUUAGUUGUUACUUCUUACAAAUACAAUUAAAGAGAAAGGGGACACUGGGCAGUCAGUGUAUCCGUUUUUAUCCACUCGCCAACAGAAGAUCAUUUGUAAAGUGGCUCAACUCAGCAAACUCAGCAGGAGCAGUGAAUACGUCUCAUGUGUUGCUUCUGUUGGUUUGUUAUCCGUUUUUAGUUUUGAGCAAAAAAGUUAUCUAAAUUAUAAUAAACGAAAUCUUUUGUAUUAUAAUGAAUUAAACAAAAGUAGUAUACUUAUGUAAAUAUUUUAGAGUUUUUUACUUUAUACAGUUGAUGUGGAUAAAAAGUUUCUCUUUUAUUCUUAAUGUUAUUUUAUAUCGAUUUAAAACAUAUAAUUAUCUAUAAAAUAUAAAAAAAAUAGCUUGGACUUCUAACUAACUAAGCUUGUCUCAAAUUCACGUGCAAAAUUUAAGUAGCUAAAAUAAAUAUAUAAUUAUCAAGUAAUUUACAAAUAAGUAUCAAGUAAUUUAUAAAUAGUUCACACAUAACAUAUAUAGUAAACCGUUGUAAAUAACUUGUAAAUACGUCAAUUUCCAGCAAAUACUUAAAACUUGUAUAACAAACCAAAUACAAAUUUAAAUGGCAAAUUGUCAAAAAUACCAUUUUCAAAGUACCAUUUUUCACGUUUACACUAACCACUUUUACCCUCAUUUUUAAUGAAGGGUAAAAGACAUUUAUAACCUUUUGAUUAACUUUGACAAAAAAAUAACUAAUCUAAAUUUAAAACAUCAACUCUAAACCCUAAAUCAUCAACUCUAAACCAUGAAACAUCAACUCUAAACCCUAAACUCCGAAACAUCAACUCUAAACCCUAAACCCUAAACCUUCAAAUCAAAAACCCUAAAACAUCAACUAUAAACCCUAAACGUAAACCUUAAACCCUAAAUCUAAACUUAAAACAUCAAAUUUAAACCCUAAAUCAUCAACUCUAAACCCUAAACAAUGAAACAUCAACUCUAAACCCUAAACCCCGAAACAUCAACUCUAAACCCUAAACCCUAAACCUUCAAAUAUAAACCCUAAAACAUCAAUUCUAAACCCUAAACAUAAACCCUAAACCCUAAACCUACAAAUCUAAACUCUAAAACAUCAACUCUAGGGUUUUAGGGUUUAGAGUUGAUGUUUUAUGGUUUAGGGUUAAUUUUUUAGGGUUUAGAGUUUACUUUUUAGGGUUUAGGGUUUAGUGUUGAUGGUUUAGAGUUUAGAGAUGAAGUUUAUGGCUUAGGGUUUAGAGUUGAUGUUUUAGGGUUUAGAGUUGAAGGUUUAGGGUUUAGAGUUGAUGUUUCGGGGUUUAGGGUUUAGAGUUGAUGUUUCAGGGUUUAGGGUUCGUAUUUAAAAAAAAAAUAGGGUUUAGGAUUGAUGGUUUAGGGUUUAGGGUUCGUAUUUCGAAAAAAAUAGGGUUUAGGAUUUACGGUU
This 25952-nucleotide long non-coding RNA is filed under the name Brassica napus (rape). RNAcentral's name for it is "long non-coding RNA (BNAP_LNC019915)". Lineage: Eukaryota; Viridiplantae; Streptophyta; Magnoliopsida; Brassicales; Brassicaceae. The record is from RNAcentral.